This 253-nucleotide ribosomal RNA is filed under the name uncultured bacterium. RNAcentral describes it as "partial 16S ribosomal RNA". It matches the Rfam family "Bacterial small subunit ribosomal RNA", at positions 524 to 776 of the family's 1533-position model. The record is from RNAcentral.
UACAGAGGGUGCAAGCGUUAAUCGGAAUUACUGGGCGUAAAGCGUGCGUAGACGGUUAUGUAAGUCGGGUGUGAAAGCCCCGGGCUCAACCUGGGAAUUGCAUUCGAGACUGUGUAGCUAGGGUACGGAAGAGGGAAGCGGAAUUUCAGGUGUAGCGGUGAAAUGCGUAGAUAUCUGAAGGAACACCAGUGGCGAAAGCGGCUUCCUGGUCCAGUACCGACGUUCAGGCACGAAAGCAUGGGGAGCGAACAGG